This 450-nucleotide ribosomal RNA is filed under the name uncultured bacterium. RNAcentral's name for it is "partial 16S ribosomal RNA". It matches the Rfam family "Bacterial small subunit ribosomal RNA", at positions 354 to 796 of the family's 1533-position model. The record is from RNAcentral.
GUGGGGAAUUUUGGACAAUGGGCGCAAGCCUGAUCCAGCAAUGCCGCGUGCAGGAAGAAGGCCUUCGGGUUGUAAACUGCUUUUGUACGGAACGAAACGGUCCUGGCUAAUAUCCGGGGCUAAUGACGGUACCGUAAGAAUAAGCACCGGCUAACUACGUGCCAGCAGCCGCGGUAAUACGUAGGGUGCGAGCGUUAAUCGGAAUUACUGGGCGUAAAGCGUGCGCAGGCGGUGCUGUAAGACAGGCGUGAAAUCCCCGGGCUCAACCUGGGAAUUGCGCUUGUGACUGCAGUGCUGGAGUGCGGCAGAGGGGGAUGGAAUUCCGCGUGUAGCAGUGAAAUGCGUAGAUAUGCGGGGGAACACCGAUGGCGAAGGCAAUCCCCUGGGCCUGCACUGACGCUCAUGCACGAAAGCGUGGGGAGCAAACAGGAUUAGAAACCCGGGUAGUCC